CGAUGGGCCCGCUCCGAUUCCUGCGAAGAUCUCACUCUUGCUCCCCCUCUUGCAGCUCCUCCCCGCCCAUCCCAAAGGGAAGUCAGCGUGAAGCGUUGACUCUGCUGCCGGGAGUCUCCGGGGCCGCCGCGACGUUGACUUUGGGACGGAUUCCACGGCAUACUCUGAUGCUAGAUCACCUGAUGAUUACUCCCCGCAUCGUCAUCAUUGCCAUCGUCAUCGUCCGGCCUGACCCGGAAUCCUGCCGUUGACCUCGGGUAAUCACUUGUCAUUGGGUGUCUCUGUACGGUCGCUUUCCCCCGGUUUGAUGGCUCUCCAGAUUAUAUAUAUCGUGAACGAGGCUUCAUAAGGGAAAAACAAAAAAAAGUGGCAGAUUUGUGAAGGGUUGGUAGCGGUCGCCUCUCUCUCUCUCUCUCUCUCUCUCUCUCUCUCUCUCUC
Molecule: long non-coding RNA, 438 nt
Filed under: Spirodela polyrhiza (greater duckweed)
Lineage: Eukaryota; Viridiplantae; Streptophyta; Magnoliopsida; Alismatales; Araceae
Description: long non-coding RNA (SPOL_LNC002416)
Source: RNAcentral